CCCUUAGAUGUCCUGGGCCGCACGCGCGUUACACUGAUGCAUUCAACGAGCUUAUAACCUUGGCCGAGAGGCCCGGGCAAUCUUGUUAACGUGCAUCGUGAUAGGGAUAGAUUAUUGAAAUUAUUAAUCUUGAACGAGGAAUUCCCAGUAAACGCAGAUCAUCAAUCUGCAUUGAUUACGUCCCUGCCCUUUGUACACACCGCCCGUCGCACCUACCGAUUGGAUGGUCCGGUGAAGCCUCGGGAUUGUGGUUCUUGCCGCUUUAUUGUGGCGUGACCGCGAGAACUUGUCUAAACCUUAUCAUCUAGAGGAAGGUGAAGUCGUAACA
RNAcentral lists this ribosomal RNA (328 nucleotides) under uncultured eukaryote. RNAcentral describes it as "partial 18S ribosomal RNA". It matches the Rfam family "Eukaryotic small subunit ribosomal RNA", at positions 1470 to 1796 of the family's 1831-position model. The record is from RNAcentral.